UGUGGAAGUGGGAGUCCUGCAGUGCCUGAGAGCUGCUGUAAGAUGGAGAUUUCCAGCACUCUGCUUCACUUCCCACCUGAAUUGCAUUGGUUCAGCACUUUUGAGAACUGUUUUUCCAGCACGUACCAUGCGCAGCUCAGAAGGGCCAGUAGACCUGUCUGAGGACUGAGUUUAUGGGCAGGGAUGUAACAGAUAUUCCCAGCAUGCCUAUAAGUGCUCUUACCUGAAAAAGUUUAGGAGCUAAGAAAGACUUGGAAGAUGACCAGCUUCGCAGUCCUCAUUGCACCUCCUUUAUUCCCAGAACAGAUUCAGGUCUUCUGCUCAGGAUGUCCAGGACUGUGGGUUGGAAAAGCCAAUUCUGUGAUGUUUUCCCAGGCAAUUCCUUUCUACUUCUGCAACUAAACUGAAAAGGUGGACUAAACAGAUUUCUGGAGCAAUAUGGAAGUGCGACAUGUCUCGACUGGGAUUCUAAAGCACCUUUCUUCAAGGUAUUCAGCAACAGGUACAACUUGUACACAGCAAUAACAGCCUGAAGUCUGAAUAAAUUGCUGAUUUUGAAAUAGUGAAUGACAUGCACAUGGAACAAUGUGUGAGGAUAAAAGGAUGGAUUUCGUAGCAUUUUAUCCUCUCAUCAUAGAUACUUGUGUGGGAAUUCUUGCUGCCAGGGAGCUAGCGUGUCUAAAAGCAUCUUGAAGAGUCUUUGACAAGCAGUUCCAGUUUAUAAAUGGAAAGUUUUCAUCACUUUUUUUCUUUUCCCCUUCAUCAUUUCCACAAAAUAGGGAAGUUACAUUUUCUACAUUUUUAAGCUUGAUUUUCUACCCAUCUUUGAUUUCUCCCCUCUAGCAAAAGCAGUUGCCAAAAAAAGAGCAAAAAAAAGACUAAGGAACAGCAAGCGUUCAGCAUCGCACGCAGUACGGAUGCUUUCAGGAUCUGGUGGGUUGGUUGGUUGCUUGUUUUUGUUUUGUUUGUUGGGUUUUGUUUUUAGGGAAGGAUCUGAGAAACGUGAAGUUGUUAAAAGCAAACAAAAAUCUCGAACUGUACACCUCACUGAGGGAAAACGUCCACAUGGGGGGGAAAGAAAGGUUUUAUGCUUUAUUAUUGGAUGCAGUUUAUGCCACAUCACUGUUUUAUAAUGGCUUUGCUCAAAGCAGACUGACAAGCCCAAAAAAAUUUUCAGCCGUUAGAAGAAAUUUCCAAUAGACCUUCAGGAGACCACGGUAUUUCUUCAAUUAACUUUUCUCCUAGAGAAUGAGAAGCUACUUAGAAUUGGAAGCUCAUAUAUAUCCAUUUGCUAUGCAGCUGCUUUCUACUGCAUUUUAUUUCACUUUGAAUAUGGAGUAUUUAAUAAGUAUUUAUAAGUAUUUAAUGUUAAUGCUGGGCUUCCUUUCAAGAAACUCAUGGUAGUGCCUCUUUCAGAGACGCUUUGUUGUGCCAAGUAGAAGGUGGUGGCCCUUGUCACCAGUACUGCAGGCUUUAGGGAUAGCAAUUGCAAGACAUUAUUGCCCUGACAGACAGUUACAUUUUGUGAGCUCUGUGCUCCAAACUAAGGGAAAAUGCACACAUCUCACAUCCAGGGCCUCCAUGCCUGUGCGUGCUUGGAUCAGUUGGAGCUGGAUCUCCCAGACCAGGUCCCAGCUCUGCUGGCUGCCUGCAGUCCCUGGCAGCAAACAGGAAAUUUAGGACCCAGUUAUGGAUUUCUUGAAUGUUCUGGUCUGAUUUAAAACCAGAAAUUUAUCUUCAGAUCAAAAGAAAUCAAACUCCCUUCCCCAAAACAAGAAUUCCCUGAUGCAAACACUUCUUUCUUCCCCUCAUCCUUUAUCCUCCUCUUUUGUCAUUUUGUAUUCAUAUAAAGCAAUACUCCAGUUUAAAGAUUUUUUAACUAGAAAAAAAAAUUUUUUUCAACCCCAAUAGUGAGUAAUAUUCUGACCUUUAGAAUUCAUUUUCAAUGAUGAAGAUCAGAAUAAGUGGUUUAUUCUUGUCUGUCUUGCUCCCUUGAUACAGAGUAAACGACUGCAAUCUCCAAAUUUUUUCUUUCAAAAGCAAGGAAGACAACAACAUGUUCCUGGCUUCUCCAUCCCCCAGUACUCUCAAAAUGCCAAGGCCAAUUUAGGUUGAGGUUUAAACUAUCUGUACUGAGAGUUUUAAGGAUUGAAUCUAUCGCUCUCUAUGCAGCAUUGUAGGAGUAGAUAUUUACAGUAAGAACUCAGUGACUUAUUUAUACUUGAACCAAAGUACUCAGUCCUACUCCUCAUGGAAGCUUUGUAAGCUUAAAAUAACCUGAACUACUGAAUGAAUUAUCCCCGAAGUUCUCUUCAAAUAUCAGAUGACAAAGUGCAGACAGUAAAGUGAAGAUGAUACUCUCAAAGGAACUCCUUGACAUGACGAAGAUAAAGGGCAAGACCAACGUCUCUGGUUAAACAGCUUAAAGAUCAGAGCUAGCUCUGAUUUUCGUUCAGAAGUCAACCUCAUCGCAUAUGAAGCUUCAAAAGGCUUUUGUGACUAUUUUUGGCAAGUGUGGUAUGUUCUUCUGAAGCCCAUCCUACAACACACACAGAUCUAUGCAAGACAGCCCCCUCCCAAAACUGCAGGCCCAUCUGCCACUAAGAAGCAGUCACAGUGAAGUGAGUAAAAGUAAAAUAGUGCACAUUCUCCAGCUAUGAUUUACAUCCUUUUUGUGACAGGGCUUCAUUGCUUCAAGUCAGUCUCCUCCCAGCAGGUAUUAGUUGGCCCCGUCUGACUGCUCAUUCAUCUCUGAAUUUAAGGCAUGUUCCCAAUAGCUUUCAUUUGCUGGGCACACUUUGAAAGCAUCAACAUUCAAAGCAGCAAUCCUAAUGCCUUUGUUUCAAAGGAAGCAAAUAGCCCUGUUGGAGAAAUCAACUAGUCAGCUGCAGUGAAGCAUCCAGCCACCCAUUUUUCAUUCUUUAAAUUAUCCGUACUCGAUGGUUUGGUUUCAGUAUCACUGCAAUCCCCCAGACCUAUUUUAUCCCAGUGACAGUCAAUGGAACACGUUCUUUGUUCCCCAUCCUUGCCUGCUCCCUCUGACCUGCUCCUUGAAUUUGUCUCCCUGCACAGAGGAUGGGAAAUUAAUCAGUUUGAGGUGUGCAGUGACAUAUCCAGCCGUCUCCCUAACGGGCCAUCUGCUAAGUGGCAUUAUCAGAAGAGUUGUGUUUCCUGGUCAUGUUCUGCUUUUGCUGAAUACAGAGCAAUGACUACAAGAGACAGACCCUUUCCUGCCCCCUUUCAGCAGACAUGUGAACCUACACACUUGAUAUGAAGCAUUACAUCUCCUCUGAAGACCUUGUUUGAAUUCCUAGAAUGUGCUCUUUCAUUUUAUUUAUUACCUAGUAACCUAUUCUGCUCAGGCUCUGCCUUCAUUUCAUUUCUCCUAGAGCCAAGUAAAUUUUUGGCACUUAAAACAAUAAUAAAUAUUUUCUACCUGGGUUGGCAUUUUCAUAGCGCACACAAAUCAAUUGCUUGGCAUCCACCAGCAGCAAAGAUACUAUGAAAAAAAAGCACAGUUGACCUCAGGAGUUAACUUUGCACACCAAGAAGGAAUGAAUGGACAAUAAUUUGUUUCAGAGGUUCAUAAAACACAAA
Long non-coding RNA from Lagopus muta (rock ptarmigan), 3597 nucleotides. RefSeq lists it as uncharacterized. The record is from RefSeq and is a predicted model, not a curated record. The transcript has 2 exons. NCBI's taxonomy places the organism in Eukaryota, Metazoa, Chordata, Aves, Galliformes, Phasianidae.